UUCUUCUUGAAACUACUAUUAGAAGUACGCCCUGCCCAAUGAAUAUUCAAUGGCCGCGGUAUCCUAACCGUGCAAAGGUAGCAUAAUCAUUUGCCCGUUAAUUGCGGGCUAGUAUGAACGGGUAAACGAAAUAGAACCUGUCUCAAUUAAACUUACAAAAAUUAGCCUCUAGAUGAAGAGAUCUAAAUACAAUUGAAGGACAAGAAGACCCUAUAGAGCUUUACUUUAUUAAGCUAUUAAAAUAACUUAUACAGUUCGGUUGGGGCGACCUAGGAAACACAUAUCAUCCUAUAACACGAAGAUUUACAUAUCUUUAUAUAUGACCCUAUAAUAGAUCAAAGGAAUAAGCUACCUUAGGGAUAACAGGCUAAUCCUCCCACAGAGACCUUAUCAACAGGAGGGAUUGGCACCUCGAUGUUGGCUUAGGAAAUCUUUAUGAUGCAGAAGUCAUAAGAAGAAGGUUUGUUCAACCUAUAAUAUCCU
Molecule: ribosomal RNA, 483 nt
Filed under: Rhynchelmis gustafsoni
Lineage: Eukaryota; Metazoa; Annelida; Clitellata; Lumbriculida; Lumbriculidae
Description: partial 16S ribosomal RNA
Rfam family: Bacterial large subunit ribosomal RNA
Source: RNAcentral